UUUUUAACGAGAGUUUGAUCCUGGCUCAGGAUGAACGCUGGCGGCGUGCUUAACACAUGCAAGUCGAGCGCGGUCCCUUUGGUGCUUGCACCAAAGAAGACUGAGCGGC
RNAcentral lists this ribosomal RNA (109 nucleotides) under Peptostreptococcus russellii. RNAcentral describes it as "partial 16S ribosomal RNA". It matches the Rfam family "Bacterial small subunit ribosomal RNA", at positions 1 to 99 of the family's 1533-position model. The record is from RNAcentral. Lineage: Bacteria; Bacillati; Bacillota; Clostridia; Peptostreptococcales; Peptostreptococcaceae.